Long non-coding RNA from Vombatus ursinus (common wombat), 331 nucleotides. RefSeq lists it as uncharacterized. The record is from RefSeq and is a predicted model, not a curated record. The transcript is spliced from 2 exons. NCBI's taxonomy places the organism in Eukaryota, Metazoa, Chordata, Mammalia, Diprotodontia, Vombatidae.
AAUUUCCUUUCAGGGAAACUGGACCAAUUUUCAAAUACAUCCUUUGAUGAAUUCAAAAAGAAUUAUCUUAUGGGAAUACAUCAAGUCAAAGAGAAAUUAUCCUCACAUCAAUGACCAGUUAUUUCCUGCCUGUUAAGAUAAAAUAACUUUUGUUUUUUAUGAUAUUAUUAAGUGUUCACCACAAGACCCUAAGGAGAUAAGAAAAAUGAGCAUGCAAAAUGAAGAAUCUAACCAUAUGUACAUUUUAAACUUAUAUUUCUUAAAAAUGAUAUCAUUUGUUAAAAAUUAUUAUUGAAAAAUUAUGCAACUAAUUAAAUCUACUUUGCAAGUA